Long non-coding RNA from Symphalangus syndactylus (siamang), 682 nucleotides. RefSeq lists it as uncharacterized. The record is from RefSeq and is a predicted model, not a curated record. Lineage: Eukaryota; Metazoa; Chordata; Mammalia; Primates; Hylobatidae.
AGGGAGCCAAGGGAGAGCCAGUCUAGAAGAGGCACGCUCAACUUCAGUCCAAGCACCCUCCUGGCCCACGCCAAACAGCCUCCUGGACUGUGACCUGGGGACCAGCAGAGGAAGGGAUGGAGAACAGUUGUUGGAUUUUUGCCACCAAGCACCCAUUACUGCCUCUUUUGGUGACAGCAUUGCAAAUUGCCUGAGGAACCCACCUCUCUGAAGAUUCUCCAGCCACAUGCUUUGAAGAUCAUCAUGUGCAAACUGAGAAUGAAGCUGAUACAGCAGCAGGCGGAGUCAGGAGGAGAGAAACUAAGACCUGAUGAUACAACUGGAGCCCUGCAUCGAACCUCUGGACUUUCCCAUGGACCCUGCCUGGACAACUACUCCUCGAUCCUUUCCGGAUGGCACCUUUGUAUUUCCUCCUUGGAGAAGUCCUUGUUUGUGAUGGCCGCACCCCCAGCUGGCAAAUGUGUGUGGCUCUCCUCUGGCCCGUCUGAGGUCAAGGUGGGAUAAAGGGAGGCCUGUGCUCACAGCCAAGCUUCCACCCCACCCCGGAACUUCCUGAGAGGUACGCUUCAGGGAGAGAGACAAUGAUGUGUGGCCCUUCCCUCUGCCAGCAGCUCUUCCCAUCCGGCUGUGGAUUAAAGGAGCCUGGGUCACUGCCCAGGCAGAAUAAAGCCUGCAAACAUCC